GAAAGAUGGUUCUGCUAUCACUCUUGGAUGGACCUGCGGUGCAUUAGCUAGUUGGUAAGGUAACGGCUUACCAAGGCAAUGAUGCAUAGCCGAGUUGAGAGACUGAUCGGCCACAUUGGGACUGAGACACGGCCCAAACUCCUACGGGAGGCAGCAGUAGGGAAUCUUCCACAAUGGACGAAAGUCUGAUGGAGCAACGCCGCGUGAGUGAAGAAGGGUUUCGGCUCGUAAAGCUCUGUUGGUAGUGAAGAAAGAUAGAGGUAGUAACUGGCCUUUAUUUGACGGUAAUUACUUAGAAAGUCACGGCUAACUACGUGCCAGCAGCCGCGGUAAUACGUAGGUGGCAAGCGUUGUCCGGAUUUAUUGGGCGUAAAGCGAGUGCAGGCGGUUCAAUAAGUCUGAUGUGAAAGCCUUCGGCUCAACCGGAGAAUUGCAUCAGAAACUGUUGAACUUGAGUGCAGAAGAGGAGAGUGGAACUCCAUGUGUAGCGGUGGAAUGCGUAGAUAUAUGGAAGAACACCAGUGGCGAAGGCGGCUCUCUGGUCUGCAACUGACGCUGAGGCUCGAAAGCAUGGGUAGCGAACAGGAUUAGAUACCCUGGUAGUCCAUGCCGUAAA
This 616-nucleotide ribosomal RNA is filed under the name uncultured bacterium. RNAcentral describes it as "bacterial SSU rRNA". It matches the Rfam family "Bacterial small subunit ribosomal RNA", at positions 202 to 806 of the family's 1533-position model. The record is from RNAcentral.